GGGUUGUGAGGUUAAGCGACUAAGCGUACACGGUGGAUGCCCUGGCAGUCAGAGGCGAUGAAGGGCGUGCUAAUCUGCGAUAAGCGCCGGUAAGGUGAUAUGAACCGUUAUAACCGGCGAUACCCGAAUGGGGAAACCCAGUGUGAUUCGUCACACUAUCAUUAACUGAAUCCAUAGGUUAAUGAGGCGAACCGGGGGAACUGAAACAUCUAAGUACCCCGAGGAAAAGAAAUCAACCGAGAUUCCCCCAGUAGCGGCGAGCGAACGGGGAGGAGCCCAGAGCCUGAAUCAGCAUGUGUGUUAGUGGAAGCGUCUGGAAAGGCGCGCGAUACAGGGUGACAGCCCCGUACACAAAAGCGCAUGUGCUGUGAGCUCGAUGAGUAGGGCGGGACACGUGGUAUCCUGUCUGAAUAUGGGGGGACCAUCCUCCAAGGCUAAAUACUCCUGACUGACCGAUAGUGAACCAGUACCGUGAGGGAAAGGCGAAAAGAACCCCGGCGAGGGGAGUGAAAAAGAACCUGAAACCGUGUACGUACAAGCAGUGGGAGCACCCUUUGGGGUGUGACUGCGUACCUUUUGUAUAAUGGGUCAGCGACUUAUAUUCUGUAGCAAGGUUAACCGUAUAGGGGAGCCGCAGGGAAACCGAGUCUUAACCGGGCGUUAAGUUGCAGGGUAUAGACCCGAAACCCGGUGAUCUAGCCAUGGGCAGGUUGAAGGUUGGGUAACACUAACUGGAGGACCGAACCGACUAAUGUUGAAAAAUUAGCGGAUGACCUGUGGCUGGGGGUGAAAGGCCAAUCAAACCGGGAGAUAGCUGGUUCUCCCCGAAAGCUAUUUAGGUAGCGCCUCGUGAAUUCAUCUCCGGGGGUAGAGCACUGUUUCGGCUAGGGGGCCAUCCCGGCUUACCAACCCGAUGCAAACUGCGAAUACCGGAGAAUGUUAUCACGGGAGACACACGGCGGGUGCUAACGUCCGUCGUGAAGAGGGAAACAACCCAGACCGCCAGCUAAGGUCCCAAAGUCAUGGUUAAGUGGGAAACGAUGUGGGAAGGCCCAGACAGCCAGGAUGUUGGCUUAGAAGCAGCCAUCAUUUAAAGAAAGCGUAAUAGCUCACUGGUCGAGUCGGCCUGCGCGGAAGAUGUAACGGGGCUAAACCAUGCACCGAAGCUGCGGCAGCGACGCUGAUGCGUUGUUGGGUAGGGGAGCGUUCUGUAAGCCUGCGAAGGUGGCCUGUGAGGGUUGCUGGAGGUAUCAGAAGUGCGAAUGCUGACAUAAGUAACGAUAAAGCGGGUGAAAAGCCCGCUCGCCGGAAGACCAAGGGUUCCUGUCCAACGUUAAUCGGGGCAGGGUGAGUCGACCCCUAAGGCGAGGCCGAAAGGCGUAGUCGAUGGGAAACGGGUUAAUAUUCCCGUACUUGGUGUUACUGCGAAGGGGGGACGGAGAAGGCUAUGUUGGCCGGGCGACGGUUGUCCCGGUUUAAGCGUGUAGGUGUGUGUUCCAGGUAAAUCCGGUUCACUUUAACACUGAGGCGUGACGACGAGGCACUACGGUGCUGAAGCAACAAAUGCCCUGCUUCCAGGAAAAGCCUCUAAGCAUCAGGUAACAUCAAAUCGUACCCCAAACCGACACAGGUGGUCAGGUAGAGAAUACCAAGGCGCUUGAGAGAACUCGGGUGAAGGAACUAGGCAAAAUGGUGCCGUAACUUCGGGAGAAGGCACGCUGACACGUAGGUGAAGUGAUUUACUCAUGGAGCUGAAGUCAGUCGAAGAUACCAGCUGGCUGCAACUGUUUAUUAAAAACACAGCACUGUGCAAACACGAAAGUGGACGUAUACGGUGUGACGCCUGCCCGGUGCCGGAAGGUUAAUUGAUGGGGUCAGCGCAAGCGAAGCUCCUGAUCGAAGCCCCGGUAAACGGCGGCCGUAACUAUAACGGUCCUAAGGUAGCGAAAUUCCUUGUCGGGUAAGUUCCGACCUGCACGAAUGGCGUAAUGAUGGCCAGGCUGUCUCCACCCGAGACUCAGUGAAAUUGAACUCGCUGUGAAGAUGCAGUGUACCCGCGGCAAGACGGAAAGACCCCGUGAACCUUUACUAUAGCUUGACACUGAACAUUGAGCCUUGAUGUGUAGGAUAGGUGGGAGGCUUUGAAGCGUGGACGCCAGUCUGCGUGGAGCCGACCUUGAAAUACCACCCUUUAAUGUUUGAUGUUCUAACGUGGACCCGUUACCCGGGUUGCGGACAGUGUCUGGUGGGUAGUUUGACUGGGGCGGUCUCCUCCUAAAGAGUAACGGAGGAGCACGAAGGUUGGCUAAUCCUGGUCGGACAUCAGGAGGUUAGUGCAAUGGCAUAAGCCAGCUUGACUGCGAGCGUGACGGCGCGAGCAGGUGCGAAAGCAGGUCAUAGUGAUCCGGUGGUUCUGAAUGGAAGGGCCAUCGCUCAACGGAUAAAAGGUACUCCGGGGAUAACAGGCUGAUACCGCCCAAGAGUUCAUAUCGACGGCGGUGUUUGGCACCUCGAUGUCGGCUCAUCACAUCCUGGGGCUGAAGUAGGUCCCAAGGGUAUGGCUGUUCGCCAUUUAAAGUGGUACGCGAGCUGGGUUUAGAACGUCGUGAGACAGUUCGGUCCCUAUCUGCCGUGGGCGCUGGAGAACUGAGGGGGGCUGCUCCUAGUACGAGAGGACCGGAGUGGACGCAUCACUGGUGUUCGGGUUGUCAUGCCAAUGGCACUGCCCGGUAGCUAAAUGCGGAAGAGAUAAGUGCUGAAAGCAUCUAAGCACGAAACUUGCCCCGAGAUGAGUUCUCCCUGAGACUUAGAGUCUCCUGAAGGAACGUUGAAGACGACGACGUUGAUAGGCCGGGUGUGUAAGCGCAGCGAUGCGUUGAGCUAACCGGUACUAAUGAACCGUGAGGCUUAACCUUACAACGCCGAAG
RNAcentral lists this ribosomal RNA (2927 nucleotides) under Salmonella enterica subsp. enterica serovar Moero. RNAcentral's name for it is "23S ribosomal RNA". It matches the Rfam family "Bacterial large subunit ribosomal RNA". The record is from RNAcentral. Lineage: Bacteria; Pseudomonadati; Pseudomonadota; Gammaproteobacteria; Enterobacterales; Enterobacteriaceae.